Molecule: long non-coding RNA, 4324 nt
Filed under: Volvox carteri
Lineage: Eukaryota; Viridiplantae; Chlorophyta; Chlorophyceae; Chlamydomonadales; Volvocaceae
Description: long non-coding RNA (VCAR_LNC002248)
Source: RNAcentral
AGCAGCAACGGCGGGCGCAACAGGAGCCUCGCCACUGGCCCGCGCACGCGCCCGGGCGGUGGCAGACUUCUGGGCGCGUUUGCGCUCGUUCGCAAUGCUGGAGACCCCCAGACACGGCUGGGACAGGGUCGGGCCGCAGCACCCCAUCCUGGCGGUCGUGGAGGAACGGAUGCGGUGCGCAGCACCGGUGGAAAUCACGGCCUAAAUAGCCGAGAUAGAGUCGGAUCGAGGUCUUACCGGAAAGGGAGCAGGGAGAGUGAGAGUGAGGGAGGGGGUGAGAGAGCCAGGAGUAGGGAUAGGUGAGGGAGCGAGGAGAGCAGGGAGGCCCUGGGCAGUUGGAGGGCUGGGCGAGAGGGCAGUGCCCUGAGCGUGGUCUAGCAGGGGGAGUUGAGGUCCCGGGCUGUGUGUGUUUUGUAUACACGUGUGGUUGCCCUCUCCCCGGGAAUUGGGGCCCGUCGGAGUGAGGGGAAUGGGUUCUGUGCUGUCUGGCAUCAGAGUAGAGAAGACGUAGGUGGCUUGUGGGAGUGGAGAGGAGGUGGGAAAGCGGUGGAGGAGAGGGGUUUGGAGGUGGAGAACAGGUGUUGCUGGUUCCGGCCGGUCAGGGUCAGGAGGGGAGGGGUUUCGGUGUGGUAAGCGGGAGCAGGCGGCGUCUGUGAGCCGUGCCUUUUCCGGGCUUUAUUGGGGGGCGCCGUGCUGGCUUGUCAUCCCCCCCGCGGCUUUAGGUGUUUUUGCUGUGUCUCGCGCUGGGCUGCAUCCAAGAGCCCGCAACCCCCAGGAGGAGACUGACGUGCGGACCAGUUUCGCCUCGUUUGUGAGUGGACCGGCGAGGAAGUGGUGCCACCCUCGGGAAGUGUUCGUUGUUCGUUGCUCGUGGUAGUUGAACAGCUGGCNNNNNNNNNNNNNNNNNNNNNNNNNNNNNNNNNNNNNNNNNNNNNNNNNNAACGAAGGGGAAGAAGAAGGGGGUUCCCCUAAAGGGGAAGAACACACCCCAAAGUCUCUUCUUCGUUUUCUUCGUCUUCUUUAGUUCCCCUAAAGGGGAUGAACCAAAGUCUCUUCUUCUUCCCCUUUAGGGGACUCCGUCUUCUUUAGUUCCCCUAAAGGGGUGAAAACGAAGGGGAAGAAGAAGGGGGUUCCCCUAAAGGGGAAGAACACACCUUUAGUUCUUCCCCUAAAGGGGAACUUUAGGGGAUGUUCNCCUUCGGGGAUGAACUAAAGGGGAUGGGGAACAAAAAGGGGAUAACCAAAGGGGAUGACUUGGUACAAGGAAAGGGUCACGCUAAAAGAUUUGGUAAAACUUGUGGACUGUUUUGGCUCCCCGAAGCUAUUCCCCUUCCCUUCGGCAUCAUCCCCUAAAGGGGAACUAAAGUUCUUCCCCUAAAGGGGAAGAACUUUAGUGCUCUUCUUCUUCCCCUAAAGGGGAACUAAAGUUCCCCUUUAGGGGAUGAACUAAAGGGGAAGAAGGGGUGUGUUCCCCUUCGGGGAGACGAAGAAGAGACUUUGGUUCCCCUUUAGGGGACGAAGACUUUGGGGACGAUGACUUUGGUUCAUCCCCUAAAGGGGAACUAAAGAAGACAACCCUAAAGAAGACAACUCUAAAGGGGACAACCCUUUAGGAGAUAUCAUCCCCUAAAGGGGAAGAACAAGAAGGGGAAAUCAUCCCCCUCUGGGGUUGUCUUCUUUAGUUCCCCUUUAGGGGAUANNNNNNNNNNNNNNNNNNNNNNNNNNNNNNNNNNNNNNNNNNNNNNNNNNGCCGCCUAACGGUCAGUCUAGCGACACAGCUACAGAACGGGCAUGUGGACGAGCGGCGAAUACGCCUGAUGACCGACUUCGUGCAUGAGGCCCUGAACACGCCCGAGGCCCAGGCCCAGCCUGACAAUUCUGCCGAGGUUAGCCGCUUUCAGGCAACCCUGGCACGUUUGUGGCAUGGGGUGCGCUGGGAGAAUGAGAACAAGGAGACCAUGUGGCGUCUCGCCGUGGAUGGCGUGCCCCUACCUGGCAACACGCACCUAGCCCGGGUGCCCACUGAGCCAUGCGGGUGUGGGACCUAUGGGGGCGCCGCCGGCCGACCCUGCCCACCGCGUCUGCACCAUUUCUGGGAAUGUCCAGUCGCACGUGCCGUACGGGAGCAGAUCGACAGGCACCUGCCACACACUCAGACAACAGUAGGGGCCACCACCACCCGGCAGCAGCUCUGGCUUGCCCAAGCGCCACCCGGGUGUGAGCAGGGCCCAUGGGACGUGAUCGCCCUAGCGGCGCUAUCCGCCAUGGAAGUCGGCAGGUGCUGCCUCCGAGCAGCAACCCGGCGACAGGGACGGAGGGGGGUGACAGCAACGGCAGGACCGCAGCAGCAGCAGCGACAGCAGCAGCAGCAGCGACAGCGACAGGUGGUGGGGCAGCCCCAGCAACAGAGGUCCCGCCAGCGGGCCAUCACAGAUUUCUUCACCCCGGCGGAAGGUGCAAUGCAGCAAGAAGGACCCACCCUAAACGCCCCAGCGGAGGAUGGGCCAACGCAGGAAGCAGGGGCGGGAGGGGGCGAGGCGGUGGCAGCAGCAGCAACGGCGGGCGCAACAGGAGCCUCGCCACUGGCCCGCGCACGCGCCCGGGCGGUGGCAGACUUCUGGGCGCGUUUGCGCUCGUUCGCAAUGCUGGAGACCCCCAGACACGGCUGGGACAGGGUCGGGCCGCAGCACCCCAUCCUGGCGGUCGUGGAGGAACGGAUGCGGUGCGCAGCACCGGUGGAAAUCACGGCCUAAAUAGCCGAGAUAGAGUCGGAUCGAGGUCUUACCGGAAAGGGAGCAGGGAGAGUGAGAGUGAGGGAGGGGGUGAGAGAGCCAGGAGUAGGGAUAGGUGAGGGAGCGAGGAGAGCAGGGAGGCCCUGGGCAGUUGGAGGGCUGGGCGAGAGGGCAGUGCCCUGAGCGUGGUCUAGCAGGGGGAGUUGAGGUCCCGGGCUGUGUGUGUUUUGUAUACACGUGUGGUUGCCCUCUCCCCGGGAAUUGGGGCCCGUCGGAGUGAGGGGAAUGGGUUCUGUGCUGUCUGGCAUCAGAGUAGAGAAGACGUAGGUGGCUUGUGGGAGUGGAGAGGAGGUGGGAAAGCGGUGGAGGAGAGGGGUUUGGAGGUGGAGAACAGGUGUUGCUGGUUCCGGCCGGUCAGGGUCAGGAGGGGAGGGGUUUCGGUGUGGUAAGCGGGAGCAGGCGGCGUCUGUGAGCCGUGCCUUUUCCGGGCUUUAUUGGGGGGCGCCGUGCUGGCUUGUCAUCCCCCCCGCGGCUUUAGGUGUUUUUGCUGUGUCUCGCGCUGGGCUGCAUCCAAGAGCCCGCAACCCCCAGGAGGAGACUGACGUGCGGACCAGUUUCGCCUCGUUUGUGAGUGGACCGGCGAGGAAGUGGUGGCCACCCUCGGGAAGUGUUCGUUGUUCGUUGCUCGUGGUAGUUGAACAGCUGGCCUUCGAGGACCAGUGUGCGAGUACUCGCUUUGUGUUGAUCUUUUCUGUACAACCGUGUCUCGGCUUUUGCGGUGUGUCGUCUCAGGCCCGUGGUCCUCCGUGUCUCCCUUGCCUUGCUGGCUGCGUGGGGCCCUGGUUUUUGUGUGUGUAGAGGAGGCCCCCGAGUAGAGCCCCUGCCCCCGGUGGUGUUUUCUUUUUGUUCUGGUUUUGGCGGUCAAGAGGGACGAGAGCGCGUGAAUAGGCAGGCCAGGCGAAGUGGCGCCUUUCGUGCGGCUCUCGCAUAGAUCGGUUCGCAGUCUUCUGCGCCGCUGUGUUGCCUAGCCAGGGGCUGGGAGAGUGUCCCGGUUGGCGUGAGUGAGGGAUCGAGGCGCGCGCGGAGGAACAGACGGACGUAGAGCCGCGCGCCCAUCCCUGCGCUGUGUUUCGGCCCGGUCAGGGCCCCCGGUGCUCGUCCUUUAUCGGGCGAGCCGCCCACAGUGUAACACCCCAUCAACAUCAACAAGUUCCACAACAAGUUCCGCAUAAAUGCGGGGGUGUCCGUAAAAGCGGGGGGCCGCCAUGGACGGUAAAUCGUUUUUAGUGCGGUUACAUGGUGGACCAUCAUCGUCCUCCCGCGUCCGCUUGAGCACGAAGCGCCUUAGAGCCUUAGAGCCUUAGUGCCAGGUGGGGCCUCGGUCAUAAUCGUGCGCAUGUCGCCCCCUAGGAACGCAAAGUCAAGUUCGUAUUUAGCCUAUGCACUUGUGUAAGCCGGGCAUCCCACAAAAACAUGCAUUUCAUCUUCGACCGCCCCGCAGUCACAAAGCCUGCAUGUCCGCGCGGUGCGCUCACGGCCGUUAGGUCGGUUAAUCUCUAACUCCCAACUGUCGCGUCAUACGACUGUAGCAU